GCCAGCAAGUAGAGGAAGCGCAGCCAUCUUUGAUCUUCGGCCCGGAACACCAGUGCGCCAGGAUACCAAAUCUGCUUGUGCUGUGCGGUUUUGACGAGUCCUAUCGCGAGUGUGUGAAGUGUUGUGUCGGGGUGGUGACGCUCCGAGCAACGGAAUUCGGGACCCGGGACCAGUCAACGUGAUGCAGCCCGUGGCCGAGAUAGAGGUGGUCGUGGUGGCGGUCGAAGUGUCCGGACGCGCAUGGUGGUAGUCGCCACCAAGCCCGGCCUUCGGCCUCUAAAUCACUUCAAUCAAUGCCUAUUGAAGAGUUGCCACCCGGCCAACCAUAGGAGAACCCACGGCACCCUAAGAGGGUAAGGGUGCUCCCUCCUAAGGUCACGAAACACCAAAGAUCGGAAUUGUGGAGAUCGGACCUUCCGACUUCGGACAUGGAUGUUUCGGUGCCAUAUACUUAGAAUGUGGGCCUGGGAAUAGCCGGGCCAGCACCCCGGCCACGGAGCGGACCGGCACUAGCGGGGCCAGCACCCCGGCCACCGAGCGGCCUGUUUAAUAUUCCUUCGUCCUCUCGACCUCUCGUCCUCUUCGCGAAGACGAAAUUACAGCACUGCUGAAUUACGGCUGCGAAGAAGACUGAGGGAGAGGACGAAGAUAUUGUGCAGCCGCCGCUGGUGCCCCGGUCGACCAGGAUGUGGCUGGAUGAAGAGGAUGAGGAAGUUGAAACAGAAGCGGAGAGGCUUAAUAUUAAUUUGGAGUGGCCUCAACCUCUUCGUCCAUCCACGUCUGCCCCAAUGGACGCCUCACCGACGCCAACAUUCGAACCUAAUAAUAAAUUGAAAUUCGAAUGGAGAAAUGUGUUGAUGCCUCAAAUAGAACCUCAUUUAAGAAUAGAACCUUUCUCCGAAAUCAGUGCUCCAACGGUUUCUUUCGCGACUCCAUACGAAUCAUUUAUUGCCAUAUGGGGUCGUGAAAUUAUGGAAGUGAUAGUCACGGAAAGCAACAUUUACGCACAGCAUUUUGAAGUCGUCGUGGCCAAAGAGAUAAGACGUCCGGUGCAUUCGUGUUGAGCGAUGCACCGGUGUUCGAAUCCCGCAGGCGGGUACCAAUUUUACUAAUGAAUUACAUACUCAACAAAUGUUCACGAUUGACUUCCACGGUGAAGGAAUAACAUCGUGUAAUAAAAGUGAAACCCGCAAAAUUAUAAUUUGCGUAAUUACUGGUGGUAGGACUUCUUGUGAGUCCGCACGGGUAGGUACCACCGCCCUGCCUAUUUCUGCCGUGAAGCAGUGAUGCGUUUCGGUUUGAAGGGUGGGGCAGCCGUUGUAACUAUAGUGAGAUCUUAGAACUUAUAUCUCAAGGUGAGUGGCGCAUUUACAUUGUAGAUGUCCAUGGGCUCCAGUAACCACUUAACACCAGGUGGACUGUGAGCUCGUCGACCCACCUAAGCAAUAAAAAAAAAAUUGAACAGCUUUAACCACUUAUCUCUUGGUUUUAAAUUUUAAGUUUCAAGAUUGGCAUAUUAUGCAGCAACUAAUUUCGGUAUUUCAUACCUAAUCUGUGCUUUGAAGACUGGGGCAGACAAUUGUAUUUUGAAUUCCGACCUCAUGUCUCAAAGUGGGUGGCAGUACGUGCUCCAGUAUACCAUCUAGGUACGCUAUAAAUAGCACAUUUUUUUAUUUGCUUAAUUGGGUGGACGAGCUCACAGCCCACCUGGUGUUAAGUGGUUACUGGAGCCCAUAGACAUCUACAACGUAAAUGCGCCACCAACCUUGAGAUAUAAGUUCUAAGGUGUGAGUAUAGUUACAACGGCUGCUCCACCCUUCAAGACGAAACGCAUUACUGCUUCACCGUAGAAAUAGGCAGGGUGGUGGUACCUACCCGUGCGGACUCACAAGAGGUCCUACCACCAGUAAAGCACAUUCUUGUUUUGUCUCUUAUAUUCUAUUUUAUAAACAUUUGGAACUGUUAUGGUGUGAACGAUGAAUAAAUAGGUAAUGAGUAGAAAACAUUUCUUUUAUUAUUUAUUCGUUUAUUUUUUUCACAGUUUCCAUUAAUACUGAAAGCGGUAUCAACAUUUACAAUGUAUUACAUACGUACUUAAAUAUUAGAAUUAAAAUUUUAUUGUUGUCCAUAAUCCACAAUAUUUAAACAACAAA
Long non-coding RNA from Bombyx mori (domestic silkworm), 2153 nucleotides. RefSeq lists it as uncharacterized. The transcript is spliced from 7 exons. The record is from RefSeq and is a predicted model, not a curated record. NCBI's taxonomy places the organism in Eukaryota, Metazoa, Arthropoda, Insecta, Lepidoptera, Bombycidae.